GACGAACGCUGGCGGCGUGCCUAAUACAUGCAAGUAGAACGCUGAAGGAGGAGCUUGCUUCUCCGGAUGAGUUGCGAACGGGUGAGUAACGCGUAGGUAACCUGCCUGGUAGCGGGGGAUAACUAUUGGAAACGAUAGCUAAUACCGCAUAACAGUAGAUGUUGCAUGACAUUUGCUUAAAAGGUGCAAUUGCAUCACCACCAGAUGGACCUGCGUUGUAUUAGCUAGUUGGUGAGGUAACGGCUCACCAAGGCGACGAUACAUAGCCGACCUGAGAGGGUGAUCGGCCACACUGGGACUGAGACACGGCCCAGACUCCUACGGGAGGCAGCAGUAGGGAAUCUUCGGCAAUGGACGGAAGUCUGACCGAGCAACGCCGCGUGAGUGAAGAAGGUUUUCGGAUCGUAAAGCUCUGUUGUAAGAGAAGAACGAGUGUGAGAGUGGAAAGUUCACACUGUGACGGUAUCUUACCAGAAAGGGACGGCUAACUACGUG
This 495-nucleotide ribosomal RNA is filed under the name uncultured bacterium. RNAcentral describes it as "partial 16S ribosomal RNA". It matches the Rfam family "Bacterial small subunit ribosomal RNA", at positions 28 to 507 of the family's 1533-position model. The record is from RNAcentral.